AGUGAACGCUGGCGGUAGGCCUAACACAUGCAAGUCGAACGGCAGCACAGUAAGAGCUUGCUCUUACGGGUGGCGAGUGGCGGACGGGUGAGGAAUACAUCGGAAUCUACUUUUUCGUGGGGGAUAACGUAGGGAAACUUACGCUAAUACCGCAUACGACCUACGGGUGAAAGCAGGGGAUCUUCGGACCUUGCGCGAAUGAAUGAGCCGAUGUCGGAUUAGCUAGUUGGCGGGGUAAAGGCCCACCAAGGCGACGAUCCGUAGCUGGUCGGAGAGGAUGAUCAGCCACACUGGAACGGGGACACGGUCCAGACUCCUACGGGAGGCAGCAGUGGGGAAUAUUGGACAAUGGGCGCAAGCCUGAUCCAGCCAUACCGCGUGGGUGAAGAAGGCCUUCGGGUGGUAAAGCCCUUUUGUUGGGAAAGAAAAGCAGCAGGUUAAUACCCCGCUGUUCUGACGGUACCCAAAGAAUAAGCACCGGCUAACUUCGUG
This 492-nucleotide ribosomal RNA is filed under the name uncultured bacterium. RNAcentral describes it as "partial 16S ribosomal RNA". It matches the Rfam family "Bacterial small subunit ribosomal RNA", at positions 29 to 507 of the family's 1533-position model. The record is from RNAcentral.